RNAcentral lists this ribosomal RNA (253 nucleotides) under uncultured bacterium. RNAcentral describes it as "partial 16S ribosomal RNA". It matches the Rfam family "Bacterial small subunit ribosomal RNA", at positions 524 to 776 of the family's 1533-position model. The record is from RNAcentral.
GACAGAGGGUGCAAACGUUGUUCGGAAUUACUGGGCGUAAAGCGCGUGUAGGCUGCUUGGAAAGUCGGGUGUGAAAGCCCUGGGCUCAACCCAGGAAGUGCACUCGAAACUUCCGAGCUCGAGUUCUGGAGAGGAUAGCGGAAUUCUCGGUGUAGAGGUGAAAUUCGUAGAUAUCGAGAGGAACACCAGUGGCGAAGGCGGCGAUCUGGGCAGAUAUUGACGCUGAGGUGCGAAAGCGUGGGGAGCAAACAGG